UUAUGACACGCUGGGUGGGAUCAGAGUCCUGUGAGCUGGGAAAAGAGAUAUAUGCUUGAUAGUAUAUACCUUUCUGGCUGGAGGAUGACUCAGAUAUAUAUGAAUGAUAGUAUGUACCUUUCUGGCUGGAGGCUGACUCACAUGUAUAUGAAUGAUAGUAUGUACCUUUCUGGCUGGAGGCUGACUCAGAUGUAUAUGAAUGAUGAUAUGUACCUUUCUGGUUGGAGGGUGACUAAGUGGAUAGCACUGCAGCCUCAGUGUCAGAGCUACCGGAUCGAUUCCCAGUUUUGUAUAUAAACUGCCAUUUCUAUCACAGGCAAAAAACCUGUGAUGUCUUCAUCUCCUACCUGUCUUGUGCGCCCUUGCUCUGGAUGUUCUUCGCACCAGAGCUGCACAAGUAGGGGUACGCGAUGCAUGCUAACCGCUUCUAAACCUCCCGUUAGAACGAUCUGAAAAAGGUUCAUAAUUCUGUCUUGACCUGGCUGCCCAUUCUUCUCUGCUAAAGGCUUUACAAUAGUUUACAAUCUCUCCAUUGGCUGAUCAGCUAUCUUUUGCGAUGUCCAAUAUAUGGAACCAAAUUAUGAUGUAAAGUGUGCUGGUGACAGGGGCACUGUAAAGGGGGAGUGGAGUUAGGAUGAUUCUAAGGGCCCCUGAGUGACAGAGGCUCUAAAGAAGUUGGAAGAUAAUAGGGUUGGUCUGGGUUUGAGGCCUAAUGUGAUAUGCUUUCAUGGGGCCCGAAAUCUCAAGUGGCGCCCCUAGCUGGUGAUGAAACAGUUACACACUAUAUUUUUACUAAUUUAAUUUCAGAUUUAAACUUUAUUUAUUGGUCAGGUUUGUAUGGUUGUUACCCAUGUUAUUAUGAUUGUUUGGGUUUCCUGCUGCAGUCCAAAAACGUGGCUGUUGAGCUAAUCCCAGAUGCCUCAGAGCACAUGGCCGGAUCACAUGAGGGAUGGGAUGUCAGUCCUUCUCGGGCUACAAUCGCAAUCACACACAAGGGCAGCUUUGUGACACUGUUGGGCCUAAAUGCAUGUCUCUGGAGCCAAAGGAAACUCACCAAAGAGGGGAAGAGCAUCCAAACACUGCACACGCCCCCAACCCUAGAGGUGUGCUGGCUAUUGGGCAAUGCUGCUGUCAUUCUAUGUAACAGAAAAGGGGGAAUGCUCUCUGUUAUUCUUUCUGCAACAUCUGUACCGUGAGUGAAGGUCAUUAAACGGUGUCAUUAAACGGUGUCAUUUUCCUAUGUGGGUCUGUUAUGAAACAGCAGAACUAUAUACGCCGCUUGGAAAGCACCGUGACUACCGCUGUUUCCACGGAAGAGAGAGGUGGGGUCGGCUAGGACCCGAAAAUUAUAAAGUAACCAGAAACUUCCGCUUUAAACUAAAGAUUUCAGCGAAGUAAUUGCAAAGCCAGCAAGUUACGGGUGUCUGUUAUAGUCCAAGAAAGAGCGUCGAAUUUCAAAUAAACGUCGUGCAUCCCACUGGAAAGAUACAUGAGUCUCCCACUUAAGGUGCUGGUUAUCGCCACAUUGGUGUCCGUGUUUGCGACACUGCUGGCGAUGAUCGACUCGGUGGGGGGGUUAAUGUAUGUGCGAAGCACUUCGGAAGGCAUCCUGCGGCAGACAGCGGAAUCAGCCGGGCAUCCCUGCGUGAUACAGUGGCAUGGGGAGCCGAAGACGCGCUCUGGGCGGAGUGCGGGGGACUCGCAGAUGUAAUAUGAGCGUGAACUAUGGAUCUUUUCGAGAAAGUGGAAUUUCACAGCUUCAUAUGCCACUGGACGGUGAUCGCGACAAUAGAUUUUUGGGAUAUUAAAAACUUUACGUAAUAACUGCAUAAUGUUUAGCUCAGUCCGAUUCUUGACUAAGGGAAGUCGCCAAAUAGUGGAAUUAUGAAAAGUAAACUUUCUGUAAGCCGAAGAUAUUGCAUUAAUAAAAUAUAAUUGAUCUAUCUGAUACUGUUAAAACUACUGAGACUACUGUGAUUAAAUAUAAUGUAAAUAACCCCCCGAUUUAUGAACUUAAUGACAAAUACAAAAACUAUACCAUGAA
Molecule: non-coding RNA, 2044 nt
Organism: Paramormyrops kingsleyae
Lineage: Eukaryota; Metazoa; Chordata; Actinopteri; Osteoglossiformes; Mormyridae
Source: RefSeq, a predicted model, not a curated record